AUACGUAGGUGACAAGCGUUAUCCGGAUUUACUGGGCGUAAAGGGCGUGUAGGCGGUCUUGCAAGUCAGAAGUGAAAUUCCUGAGCUCAACUCGGGCGCUGCUUCUGAAACUGCAGGACUUGAGUGCUGGAGGGGAUAGCGGAAUUCCUAGUGGAGCGGUAAAAUGCGCAGAUAUUAGGAAGAACACCGGUGGCGAAGGCGGCUAUCUGGACAGUAACUGACGCUGAGGCGCGAAAGCGUGGGGAGCAAACAGGAUUAGAUACCCUGGUAGUCCACGCGGUAAACGAUGAAUACUAGGUGUAGGGGGUAUCGACUCCCUCUGUGCCGCAGUUAACACAAUAAGUAUUCCGCCUGGGGAGUACGGCCGCAAGGUUGAAACUCAAAUGAAUUGGCGGGG
Molecule: ribosomal RNA, 397 nt
Filed under: uncultured bacterium
Lineage: Bacteria
Description: partial 16S ribosomal RNA
Rfam family: Bacterial small subunit ribosomal RNA
Source: RNAcentral